This 546-nucleotide ribosomal RNA is filed under the name uncultured Glomeromycotina. RNAcentral describes it as "SSU rRNA". It matches the Rfam family "Eukaryotic small subunit ribosomal RNA", at positions 548 to 1098 of the family's 1831-position model. Lineage: Eukaryota; Fungi; Glomeromycota. The record is from RNAcentral.
UUGGAGGGCAAGUCUGGUGCCAGCAGCCGCGGUAAUUCCAGCUCCAAUAGCGUAUAUUAAAGUUGUUGCAGUUAAAAAGCUCGUAGUUGAAUUUCGGGAUUAGUACGUUGGUCGUGCCUUCGGUACGUACUGGUGUUACUGAUUCCUACCUUCUGACGAACCAUCAUGUCAUUAAUUUGGUGUGGCGGGGAAUCAGGACUGUUACUUUGAAAAAAUUAGAGUGUUUAAAGCAGGCUCGCGCUUGAAUACAUUAGCAUGGAAUAAUGAAAUAGGACGUUGACCCUAUUUUGUUGGUUUCUAGGAUUGACGUAAUGAUUAAUAGGGAUAGUUGGGGGCAUUAGUAUUCAAUUGUCAGAGGUGAAAUUCUUGGAUUUAUUGAAGACUAACUACUGCGAAAGCAUUUGCCAAGGAUGUUUUCAUUAAUCAAGAACGAAAGUUAGGGGAUCGAAGACGAUCAGAUACCGUCGUAGUCUUAACCAUAAACUAUGCCGACUAGGGAUCGGAUGAUGUUAUUUUUAAUGACUCAUUCGGCGCCUUACGGGAAAC